GAUGAAGAACGUAGCGAAAUGCGAUAAGUAGUGUGAAUUGCAGAAUUCAGUGAAUCAUCGAAUCUUUGAACGCACAUUGCGCCCUUUGGUAUUCCUUAGGGCAUCCCUGUUCGAGCGUCAUUUAAACCUUCAAGCUCAGCUUGGUGUUGGGUGACUGUCCGCUUCACCGCGGACUCGCCUCAAAAUUAUUGGCGGCCGGUACAUUGGCUUCGAGCGCAGCAGAAACGCGAACUCGGGCCCGUCGUAUUGGCUCCCAGAAGCUAUCUUCACAAUUUUGACCUCGGAUCAGGUAGGGAUACCCGCUGAACUUAAGCAUAUCAAUAAGCGGAGGA
RNAcentral lists this unclassified non-coding RNA (332 nucleotides) under soil metagenome. RNAcentral's name for it is "partial contains 5.8S ribosomal RNA, internal transcribed spacer 2, and large subunit ribosomal RNA". The stretch from base 1 to 120 matches the Rfam family "5.8S ribosomal RNA", at positions 35 to 154 of the family's 154-position model. The record is from RNAcentral.